Molecule: ribosomal RNA, 495 nt
Filed under: uncultured bacterium
Lineage: Bacteria
Description: partial 16S ribosomal RNA
Rfam family: Bacterial small subunit ribosomal RNA
Source: RNAcentral
GAUGAACGCUGGCGGCGUGCCUAAUACAUGCAAGUCGAGCGAACAGAUGAGGAGCUUGCUCCUCUGACGUUAGCGGCGGACGGGUGAGUAACACGUGGAUAACCUACCUAUAAGACUGGGAUAACUUCGGGAAACCGGAGCUAAUACCGGAUAAUAUAUUGAACCGCAUGGUUCAAUAGUGAAAGACGGUUUUGCUGUCACUGAUAGAUGGAUCCGCGCCGCAUUAGCUAGUUGGUAAGGUAACGGCUUACCAAGGCAACGAUGCGUGGCCGACCUGAGAGGGUGAGCGGCCAAAAGGGAAAGGAGACACGGGCCAGACCUCCACGGGAGGGAGCAGUAGGGAAUUUUCCGAAAUGGGGGAAAGCCUGAAGGAGGAACGGCCGGGGGGGGAAGAGGGUCUUUCGAGUGAAAAACUUUUUUUGUAGGGAAAAAAAAAUGGGAAAGUAACUAGGCCCGUUGAGGGGGGCCGAAAAAAAAAAGCCCGGGAACACCAUG